AGAGCUUCUCAUGCAGCCUGCACCAGCGCCGGGUCGGAGAGUCAGAGGCCACCCUGAGAUGGACCGAGAUCUUCAGUUGGGGAGGCGCCUCCGAACUGUCCAUUUGGCUAUGAGCGAAUCAUCCUGCUUGCUUUUAUAAGCAUUUAUCCUGAAAAGAAAUUUAAAGCAGACAUCCCAUAAAUGGAGUCUGGGACAGAAACCUACACAUUGGGGCUUGGUGGCAUGCAUGUUUAGUCCCAGCUACACAGCAGGGAGGCUGAGGCUGAAGGAAUACUUGAGCCCAGGAAUUCAAGACUAGCCUGCACAACAUAGUGAGACCCUGACUUUAAAAUAAAUUUAAAAAAAUUAAAAGCAACAAGACUUUCUGCUUGUAUAUGAUGAUGUUAGUAUGCUGACUUACAAGGUUAGAUCAUUUUGAUAUGUGUGAUGUAGGUUUUCAAAGCUGGCACUGUUUUAUGCUUCAAAUAUUAUUUUUAUUCAUUGGUUCUCAUGGGAUUUCAUCACUAAGCUGUAAAUCAAUAAUCAUAAUGUUGAGGGGAGGGGAUUACAAAAUAGCUCUUCAAAAUCAUCUUUGCAUUUCUCAAUAAACAGCAUUCCCUUUUGGACUACAGUGAAAAAUAUUGAGCUUUGUUUACUUUGAAAAUGAGUCUUAGUCUAUGAAUGCCUGGGUAGGGUCAAGAAUGAAAAAUGAGAGGAAGAGAGAAGCAUCAGGAAGAUAAAAUGAUCAAUCUCACAAAACUUGCUAUUUUUAGAAAGCAUCAUUCUAAUUUUGAAACCAAAAAAAUGGGGAAAAACAGAGUAAUGGAAUAAUAGAAUGCCUCAUGUACAAAAGCAACAAUUUCAGAGAUGAUCUAAAACAACUUAUUAGUUAUAGGAAGAAAUAUACCUGAAAAGGGCAAAAAUAAGUUGGGUUUGGCCUCUUGUCACUGAAAUUAUCUACUAAAUCUAACAGCAUCUAUGUUCCUUUAGCUGUUGUGUAUAUUGUACACAAAUGUGA
This 997-nucleotide long non-coding RNA is filed under the name Homo sapiens (human). RNAcentral describes it as "HSALNT0409460". The record is from RNAcentral. Lineage: Eukaryota; Metazoa; Chordata; Mammalia; Primates; Hominidae.